AGAUUAUUAGGUUGAGGGAAGGCCAUAUCAACCACUCUCAGUUCGGAUUGUAGGAAACAACUCGCAAACAUGAACCUGGAAACAUAUAAAUCUCGGAUCAACAUGCCGCGGUGAAUACGUUCCCGGGCCCUGUACACACCGCCCGUCACACCACGAGAAUUUGUAACACCCGAAGUCGAUGGAGUAACCGUAAGGAGCUAGCCGCCUAAGGUGGGACAGAUGAUUGGGGUGAACUUUCAUUAC
RNAcentral lists this ribosomal RNA (243 nucleotides) under Priestia megaterium. RNAcentral's name for it is "Bacillus megaterium partial 16S ribosomal RNA". It matches the Rfam family "Bacterial small subunit ribosomal RNA", at positions 1252 to 1492 of the family's 1533-position model. The record is from RNAcentral. Lineage: Bacteria; Bacillati; Bacillota; Bacilli; Caryophanales; Bacillaceae.